AGUGGGGAAUAUUGGACAAUGGGCGAAAGCCUGAUCCAGCAAUGCCGCGUGAGUGAUGAAGGCCUUAGGGUUGUAAAGCUCUUUUACCCGGGAUGAUAAUGACAGUACCGGGAGAAUAAGCCCCGGCUAACUCCGUGCCAGCAGCCGCGGUAAUACGGAGGGGGCUAGCGUUGUUCGGAAUUACUGGGCGUAAAGCGCGCGUAGGCGGCUUUGUAAGUUAGAGGUGAAAGCCCGGAGCUCAACUCCGGAACUGCCUUUAAGACUGCAUCGCUAGAACGUCGGAGAGGUAAGUGGAAUUCCGAGUGUAGAGGUGAAAUUCGUAGAUAUUCGGAAGAACACCAGUGGCGAAGGCGACUUACUGGACGACUGUUGACGCUGAGGUGCGAAAGCGUGGGGAGCAAA
This 402-nucleotide ribosomal RNA is filed under the name uncultured Sphingomonas sp. Its description in RNAcentral is "bacterial SSU rRNA". It matches the Rfam family "Bacterial small subunit ribosomal RNA", at positions 353 to 772 of the family's 1533-position model. Lineage: Bacteria; Pseudomonadati; Pseudomonadota; Alphaproteobacteria; Sphingomonadales; Sphingomonadaceae. The record is from RNAcentral.